AUUUAAGCGUUAAAGUGCAUCUGGUGGAUGCCUUGGCGAUCAGAGGCGAUGAAGGACGUGGUACGCUGCGAUAAGCUCCGGGGAGUUGCGAACAAACUUUGAUCCGGGGAUUUCCGAAUGGGGAAACCCACCACAUAUGUGGUAUCCCUUGCUGAAUACAUAGGCAAGGCGAAGCGAACCUGGGGAAGUGAAACAUCUCAGUACCCAGAGGAAAAGACAUCAACCGAGAUUCCCUUAGUAGUGGCGAGCGAACGGGGAACAGCCCAGUAGUUGUUUUGUAAGAACUAACAGUGAUUGGAAACUCACGCCAUAGACGGUGAUAGCCCGGUAUAGGUAGAAAGCAGAACAGCUCUUGAGUAGGGCGGGACACGUGAAAUCCUGUCUGAAUAUGGGGGGACCAUCCUCCAAGGCUAAAUACUCCUGAUCGACCGAUAGUGCACAGUACUGUGAAGGAAAGGUGAAAAGCACCCCAAAUGGGGAGUGAAAAAGACCUGAAACCGGAUGCAUACAAACAGUAGGAGCGGACUUGUUCCGUGACUGCGUACCUUUUGUAUAAUGGGUCCGCGAGUUAGUCUUGCAUGCAAGCUUAAGCCGUUAGGUGGAGGCGUAGGGAAACCGAGUCUGAAUAGGGCGACUAGUAUGCAGGAUUAGAUCCGAAGCCCGGUGAUCUAGCCAUGACCAGGUUGAAGUUGCGGUAACACGCAAUGGAGGACCGAACCGAUAAGUGUUGAAAAACUUCCGGAUGAGUUGUGGUUAGGGGUGAAAGGCCAAUCAAACCGGGUAAUUGCUGAUUCUCCGCGAAAACUAUUUAGGUAGUGCGUCGUGUCUUACCUUCGGGGGUAGAGCACUGGAUGGGCUAGGGGGGCGCAAGCCUUACCAAACCCAACCAAACUCCGAAUACCGAAGAGUACAAUCACGGCAGACAGACAGUAGGUGCUAACGUCUAUUGUCAAGAGGGAAACAACCCAGACCACCAGCUAAGGUCCCCAAAUAAUGACUAAGUGUAAAAGGAAGUUGGACUUCCAUAACAACCAGGAAGUUGGCUUAGAAGCAGCCAUCUUUUAAAGAAAGCGUAAUAGCUCACUGGUCUAAUUAAGAGGUCCGGCGCCGAAGAUGUAACGGGGCUAAAGUCAUUUACCGAAGCUGUGGAUGCUACGGCAUGGUAGCGGAGCGUUGUGUAAGCCUGUGAAGGUUCAUCGUGAGGUGGACUGGAGGUAUCACAAGUGAGAAUGCGGACAUGAGUAACGAUAAAAAGUGUGAGAAACACUUUCGCCGAAAAUCCAAGGGUUCCUGUCCAAGGCUAAUCCGGGCAGGGUGAGGCGGCCCCUAAGGCGAGGCUGAAAAGCGUAGUCGAUGGGAAUCAGGUUAAUAUUCCUGAGCCUGCUGGAAGUGACGGUGGCCGGAAUCUGUAUCUCCUAAUUGGAUUGGAGGUGCAGGCUAGGACAUCCAGGAAAUAACUCCAGCGUAUAGACCGUACCCUAAACCGACACAGGUGGAUUGGUAGAGAAUACUAAGGCGAUUGAGAGAACGGUGUUGAAGGAACUCGGCAAAUUGCAUGCGUAACUUCGGGAGAAGCAUGCCCUGUCAGAAGGCAACUUUUGGCAGGGGGCACAAACUAGGGGGUAGCGACUGUUUACCAAAAACACAGGGCUCUGCGAAAUCGAAAGAUGACGUAUAGGGUCUGACGCCUGCCCGGUGCCGGAAGGUUAAGAGGAGAUGUUAACGCAUUGAAUCGAAGCCCCGGUAAACGGCGGCCGUAACUAUAACGGUCCUAAGGUAGCGAAAUUCCUUGUCGGGUAAGUUCCGACCUGCACGAAUGGCGUAACGACUUCCCCGCUGUCUCCAACACCGACUCAGUGAAAUUGGAUUCCCCGUGAAGAUACGGGGUUCCCGCGGUCAGACGGAAAGACCCUAUGAACCUUUACUAUAACUUUGCAGUGGCAUUACGAUUGUCAUGUGUAGGAUAGGUGGGAGGCUUUGAAGCCGGGACGCUAGUUUCGGUGGAGCCAACCUUGAAAUACCACCCUUGACCUUCGUGAUGUCUAACCAAGCUCCGUUAUCCGGAGUUGGGACCCUGCAUGGCGGGUAGUUUGACUGGGGCGGUCGCCUCCCAAAGUGUAACGGAGGCGCGCGAUGGUAAGCUCAAGACGGUCGGAAAUCGUCUUCAAGAGUGCAAUGGCAUAAGCUUGCCUGACUGUGAGACUGACAAGUCGAACAGAGCCGAAAGGCGGUCAUAGUGAUCCGGUGGUUCCGCAUGGAAGGGCCAUCGCUCAACGGAUAAAAGGUACUCUAGGGAUAACAGGCUAAUAGCGCCCAAGCGUCCCCAGCGACGGCGCUGUUUGGCACCUCGAUGUCGGCUCAUCUCAUCCUGGGGCUGUAGUAGGUCCCAAGGGUAUGGCUGUUCGCCAUUUAAAGAGGUACGUGAGCUGGGUUCAAAACGUCGUGAGACAGUUUGGUCCCUAUCUGCCGUGGGUGUUGGAUACUUGAGAGGAUCUGUCCUUAGUACGAGAGGACCGGGAUGGACAUACCUCUGGUGUAUCGGUUGUUCCGCCAGGAGCAGUGCCGAGUAGCUAAGUAUGGAAGGGAUAAACGCUGAAAGCAUCUAAGCGUGAAACCCGCCUCAAAACAAGGUAUCCCUAUCAGAGCCGUGGAAGACCACCACGUUGAUAGGCCAGGUGUGGAAGCGCAGUAAUGCGUGCAGCUAACUGGUACUAAUUGCUCGAUUGGCUUAAAUUC
Molecule: ribosomal RNA, 2736 nt
Filed under: Alphaproteobacteria bacterium
Lineage: Bacteria; Pseudomonadati; Pseudomonadota; Alphaproteobacteria
Description: 23S ribosomal RNA
Rfam family: Bacterial large subunit ribosomal RNA
Source: RNAcentral